Molecule: ribosomal RNA, 1492 nt
Filed under: Lactobacillus johnsonii
Lineage: Bacteria; Bacillati; Bacillota; Bacilli; Lactobacillales; Lactobacillaceae
Description: bacterial SSU rRNA
Rfam family: Bacterial small subunit ribosomal RNA
Source: RNAcentral
GAUGAACGCUGGCGGCGUGCCUAAUACAUGCAAGUCGAACGAGUUCUCGUUGAUGAUCGGUGCUUGCACCGAGAUUCAACAUGGAACGAGUGGCGGACGGGUGAGUAACACGUGGGUAACCUGCCCUUAAGUGGGGGAUAACAUUUGGAAACAGAUGCUAAUACCGCAUAGAUCCAAGAACCGCAUGGUUCUUGGCUGAAAGAUGGCGUAAGCUAUCGCUUUUGGAUGGACCCGCGGCGUAUUAGCUAGUUGGUGAGGUAAUGGCUCACCAAGGCGAUGAUACGUAGCCGAACUGAGAGGUUGAUCGGCCACAUUGGGACUGAGACACGGCCCAAACUCCUACGGGAGGCAGCAGUAGGGAAUCUUCCACAAUGGACGCAAGUCUGAUGGAGCAACGCCGCGUGAGUGAAGAAGGCUUUCGGGUCGUAAAACUCUGUUGUUGGAGAAGAAUGGUCGGCAGAGUAACUGUUGUCGGCGUGACGGUAUCCAACCAGAAAGCCACGGCUAACUACGUGCCAGCAGCCGCGGUAAUACGUAGGUGGCAAGCGUUAUCCGGAUUUAUUGGGCGUAAAGCGAGCGCAGGCGGUUUUUUAAGUCUGAUGUGAAAGCCCUCGGCUUAACCGAGGAAGCGCAUCGGAAACUGGGAAACUUGAGUGCAGAAGAGGACAGUGGAACUCCAUGUGUAGCGGUGAAAUGCGUAGAUAUAUGGAAGAACACCAGUGGCGAAGGCGGCUGCCUGGUCUGUAACUGACGCUGAGGCUCGAAAGCAUGGGUAGCGAACAGGAUUAGAUACCCUGGUAGUCCAUGCCGUAAACGAUGAAUGCUAGGCGUUGGAGGGUUUCCGCCCUUCAGUGCCGCAGCUAACGCAUUAAGCAUUCCGCCUGGGGAGUACGACCGCAAGGUUGAAACUCAAAGGAAUUGACGGGGGCCCGCACAAGCGGUGGAGCAUGUGGUUUAAUUCGAAGCGACGCGAAGAACCUUACCAGGUCUUGACAUCUUUUGAUCACCUGAGAGAUCAGGUUUCCCCUUCGGGGGCAAAAUGACAGGUGGUGCAUGGUUGUCGUCAGCUCGUGUCGUGAGAUGUUGGGUUAAGUCCCGCAACGAGCGCAACCCUUAUGACUAGUUGCCAGCAUUUAGUUGGGCACUCUAGUAAGACUGCCGGUGACAAACCGGAGGAAGGUGGGGAUGACGUCAAAUCAUCAUGCCCCUUAUGACCUGGGCUACACACGUGCUACAAUGGAUGGUAUAACGAGUUGCGAGACCGCGAGGUCAAGCUAAUCUCUUAAAGCCAUUCUCAGUUCGGACUGUAGGCUGCAACUCGCCUACACGAAGUCGGAAUCGCUAGUAAUCGCGGAUCAGCACGCCGCGGUGAAUACGUUCCCGGGCCUUGUACACACCGCCCGUCACACCAUGAGAGUUUGUAACACCCGAAGCCGGUGGCGUAACCCUUUUAGGGAGCGAGCCGUCUAAGGUGGGACAAAUGAUUAGGGUG